UGGCGAACGGGUGAGUAACACGUGAGUAACCUGCCCUUGACUUUGGGAUAACUUCAGGAAACUGGGGCUAAUACCGGAUAGGAGCUCCUGCUGCAUGGUGGGGGUUGGAAAGUUUCGGCGGUUGGGGAUGGGCUCGCGGCUUAUCAGCUUGUUGGUGGGGUAGUGGCUUACCAAGGCUUUGACGGGUAGCCGGCCUGAGAGGGUGACCGGCCACAUUGGGACUGAGAUACGGCCCAG
This 237-nucleotide ribosomal RNA is filed under the name uncultured Actinomycetales bacterium. Its description in RNAcentral is "partial 16S ribosomal RNA". It matches the Rfam family "Bacterial small subunit ribosomal RNA", at positions 96 to 334 of the family's 1533-position model. The record is from RNAcentral. Lineage: Bacteria; Bacillati; Actinomycetota; Actinomycetes; Actinomycetales.